RNA transcript from Trifolium pratense (red clover), 3101 nucleotides. It is a transcript of the gene named protein-tyrosine-phosphatase PTP1, with no coding region annotated. The transcript is spliced from 8 exons. Lineage: Eukaryota; Viridiplantae; Streptophyta; Magnoliopsida; Fabales; Fabaceae. The record is from RefSeq and is a predicted model, not a curated record.
UUUUAUCCCAAAAAGGAACUCACUCAUUAGAUAGAAUGGAAAAGUGAAUGAUAACUGAGAAUCCAAAUUAUUCAAUUGAUUGAAACCCCACUCACUCAACAGCUGAACUGGGGAACCUCAUCUCUACCCGUUCCCGUCCUCGCCGGAGAUCCACCAUGGCCGGCAAUCCCGCCGCAACCCCUUCCUCCACCUCUUCUCUCCACAAUUUAACUUUCUCUCCCGAUUUCCCCUCCCGAAUCCCCCUUACCUCCGAUCAGCUCAACCACUGCAACAAAGCACUCGCUCUGUUGAAGGAUAAGCUCCUUAACCCUAACACCAUCUCUCAAGAGUUCUUUCACUUGCAGUCUAAUAGGACUACGCUCAGUGAGACCACCAGAAGAUGCAAUGUUGCUCUUAAUUCUGUUAAUAUCGGCAAAAAUCGAUACAAAGAUGUUAUACCAUUUGACAAGAACAGAGUCAUUCUUAAAUCGAGUUCAGAUUAUAGGUCUGAAGCACUGGGGUAUAUCAAUGCAAGCUUUAUCUCGACCUCUUCCACUGGAACUGUGUCAGAAUUUAUAGCCACACAAGGCCCACUGCCACACACUUAUGAGGAUUUCUGGGAAAUGAUUACCCAAUAUCACUGCCCUGCAAUUGUGAUGCUUACUAGGUUGGUCGACAAUUACAGGACGGUGAAGUGUGGAGAUUAUUUUCAAUCGGAGGAUAGACCUAGAGAAUUUGGUAAUAUCUCGCUUACAUGUAAAUGGGCAAAAACUACUGAAACUUCACUUGUGCUGCGUCAUUUGGAGGUGACCCAUAAAGAGGUAGAAAAUACACCAUUAUCUGUUUUGCAUAUUCAGUAUCCCGAGUGGCCUGACCAUGGAGUUCCAAAUGAUACUUUAGCUGUGCGUGAAAUUUUGAAAAGAUUGUACCAUUUACCACCAAACCUUGGCCCAAUAGUGGUGCACUGCAGGUAUCGGUAGAACUGGAACAUACUGCACAAUUCACAACACAAUUCAGAGAAUACUUGCUGGUGAUAUGUCUGCUGUAGAUAUUGCUAACACAGUAUCUGUGUUCAGGUCCCAGCGUAUUGGAAUGGUUCAGACCCAGGUAGUUGAAUUUCCUAAUUUAAUAAUUAAUUGUGUGAUUCAUGAAUGUAUCGAUUUUGCAUGAAAUGCCAGUAAUAUAGUUGGACCACAUAUGAAUUAAGUUCCAUUUCUAAACUAAAUCUGAAGGAAAGAGGAACAGGAAUGAUAAGGUACCCUAUGUUGUUUGAUAGCAAAGAAGGCAGAUUGUUGCAAGGAACUAGGUUAGAUAGUUUAGCAAGGAUGCAAUUACAAAUUAAAGGUUGAAGGAACUCUGUUCUCCUUCGGUUGUAAACUUACCAAUCCAUUUCUUCUGGUUAAAAUAGAAGAAAUAUUUAUUACUCAGAAGGGAAGCUCUUACUACUAAUUCAUGUUUCCAAAGUAAGUAAAAAGCCAAUAAGCUUUUAGUUGUUUAAAGGAACUGGGCUAUAUAUUUAGGGAAGGAUGUCUGCAAAAUUUACUAUCCUGAUUUGGAGCAAAAUUGUCAGAAUCGCGAGUUUGCUUUAAAUCGACAAGAGAUCAUGUUAUUACCAAACUAUCAUGCAUUUUCAACUAAAAAAAGUUAUCAAAUUAUAGUUUGUCUCUUGAACCCAAUAGGCAAUAGUCCUAAUGCAAAUAAUAUAUCAUGAGUUUUUCUUUUAAUCUUUGAGCUUGUGGAUAUAGUAAAUUUCCUUAUGUGCAAAUUUGUUAAGGAAGUAUAAAGACAGUUAGUCCAUUAGUUAAUUAUAUGUGAUGAUCACUUAGAGUGAUAAAUAGGGAGGAUGAGGAUGGAGGCAAUUAUUUGGUGAAUUUGGUGGUCUGUGAAGGGGACACACUGUUAGAGGAGAAUCUGCUUCUUAAUCAUUCAUUGAAUAUAAUUGUUCUUAACAAAAUUACACAACCUCGUGUCUUGUUUCAUAAAUUACUGACCUUUUGAAUUUUUCAUGAGAUAUAUAUCCCCUCUCUUUAAUAGACAUUUAUAUACCCCUUCCUUAGUCCUUAUGGAUGAAAACCUAAAGAAAGGGAAUACGUUUUUUAAAACCAGUGGUGUAGAUAAUGAUCUCUAGUUAGUUUUCUGUUGUACUUAGCCAGUGUGACAGCUGUCUAGGCACAUGUCAAAAUAGAGCACCAGAUCAGCUUUACGGCCUCGGAGUUGGUUAGAUCUGAGUGCAGGUUAAGCCAAUGCUGAGUGUAGGACAAGACUCAAAUUCCCAGAAUCUGUCAAAGCAGAUCAGAAAUUGUAAUACACAAUUCCAAUAUAUGAAAAAUAUGAAAAAAUAGUUUCUAAAUAACAAAACAAUCCAUGAAUUAUUUUUUUGGUUACUUUUUAUGUCUUUUUUUGGUUACAAAUACAAGGCAAAAUUGCAUCCAUUAAUGACUCUGCGCAUAGUGAUGAAUUAUUUUUGUUUGGUUACUUUAUUUCUUUGUGUAACCAAAAAAAUCCAUGAAUUAGUUUCUCCAUACUGUAUCAUAAGGCCACAUUCUAUGACUCCCGCCUUCUUGCCAGCCUGCCUUUUGGUUGGAGGCCUCAGUUAACCACCCACUUGGAAUCGAUCCCGUGCAGGAGGAGCAUACUUUCCUCCCCUGUGCCUGUAUUUAUUCCGUUCACCAAAAUUUAUGGUUCUUAUUAUUAUUAAUUUAUUACCAUGAUGGUUAUUGUAAUCUGAUAUUUCCUCGUAUAUAAAUUCUCUUUGAACUUUUUGGUGUCUCUUUCUACAACUAUCAGGAUCAAUACGUUUAUUGCUAUGAAGCUAUCAUAGAUGAACUGGAAGACCUUGUAUCUCAUCAGUAAUGAGAGUAGAAGGUGCUAAAUCAAAGGAUGCUAAGCUGCUUGCCUCAUUCUGAAGCCAACUUUCAAUUUUUCUAAUUGGGUCCUGCAAUGCUAUGUAUCCAAUAGCUGACUCUGGAGCAUUAGCAUUAUGGGGAUUUUAUGAUUUUCACUGAACUGAGUUUACUAGAUACCUUGUCCGUGCAUUCACACGGGUCAUAUGAUGUGACAUCAAUGAAUUGUGUAUUUGUUAAAACAUUUUUUUUUUAAUAGAUUUAUCACAUAUUACUUCA